ACCGCAAAGCAUAUUAAUAAGCGAAGGAAAAGAAACUUAUAAGGAUUUUUUUAGUAACGGCGAGCGAACCGGGAGUAGCCCAACUUUAGAAUCGGGUGCAUCCGUCAUUCGAAUUAUAGUUUGGAGAAGCAUCCUCAGUGGCGGACCGAGCCCAAGUCCCCAGGAGUGGGGUGCCCGAGUGGGUGAGAACCCUGUUUUGCCCAGAACCUGUCUCACCGUAAGACACUGUCUACGAGUCGAGUUCUUUGGGAUUGUAACCCAAAUCUGGCGGUGAAUUUUGUCCAAGGGUAAAUACGGGUGAAAGAUAGAUAGAGAACAAGUAUUGCGAUGGAAAGAUGAAAAGGACUUUCAAAAGGGAGUCAAAAAGUGCUUGAAAUUAUCGGGAAGAAAGAAAAUUGGGGCCAGCAUGCACCUUAUUCGGCUAUGGAACAACGAUGAGCCGGCCCGCCGAUCUACUCGAGGUAUGGACUAGCGUAGAUUGGGGGGUGGCCAAAGCCCAAGCUCUCAAUAUGCUCGUGGAAUGUCGUCUCCUCAAUUAUAGCAGGAAGCGCAUGCCUUUAGUGUGCUUUGGAAUUUGCGUACUCCAGACUCUGGCUUGUGGGUUUCCCAUUUGACCCAUCUUGAAACAUGGACCAAGGAGUCUAAUAUGUGAGUGAUUCAAUGGGUGAGUAAACCCAUAAUACGUAAGGAAGAUAAUUGGAGAAUCCCCUUGAAGGGUGCACCAUCGAUCGACGUUGAUCUUUUAAGAAAGGUUUGAGUCUCAGCAUACCUGUUGGGACCCAAAAGAUGGUAAACUAUGCCUGACCAGGGCAAAGCCAGAGGAAACUCUAGUGGAGGCCCGCAGUGAUACUGACGUGCAAAUCAUUCGUCUGACUUAGGUAUAGGAGCAAAAGACUAAUCGAACCGUCUAGUAGCUGGUUCCCUCCAAAGUAUCCCUCAAAGACAGCUGGAACUCACGUGCGAGUUCUAUUGGGUAAAGCCAAUGAUAAGAGGCCAUGGGGCCCAAUGUCCUUGACCUAUUUCAAACUUUUAAUAAGUUGGACGGCAAAACUUCUUUGUUGAGCUGCCCUAUGGAAUAGAAAGCUCCAAGUGGUCAUUUUUGGUAAGCAGAAUUGGCGAAGCAUGGCGAACCAGUAGUUGGUUUACGGUGCACAACAACGCGCUAACCUAUAUCCCACAAAAGGGUAUUGGUAAAUUAAGAUAGCAGGACAGUGGUCAUUGAAGUCGAAAUCCACUAAGGAAAGUGUAACAACUCACCUGCCGAAUAAACUAGCCCUAAAAAUAGAUGGCUUUUAAGCGCACGACCUACACCCGGCCAUUGGGGCAAGUGCCAAACCCAGAUGUGUCGAAGGGCACGACAGUUACUAUAAAACCUUAGGCUAGAUCCUGGGUGCAGUGGACGUCGGUGUAGAUCUUGGUUGUAGUAGAAAAUAUUAAAAUGAGAACUUUGAAGGCAGGAGAGGGGAAAGGUUCCAUGUGAAUGACACUUUCACAUGGGUUAGUCGAUCCUAAGGUUUGGGGGAACCCUGAUAGAUAACGCUUUUCAUGCGUACUCCAAUAGGCAAUCAGGUUAAAAUUUCUGAACCAGGACAUGGUAGUUGAUGACAAUGUUAAGAUGUCUGGAGCAGUCAGAGGGAGCCUCGGGAAGAGUUAUCUUUUCUGUUUAACAUCCUACCUACACAGGAAUCGGCUCAGCCGGAGGUAGGGUUCAGCAGCUAGAAGAGCACCGCACGUCUCGUGGUGUCCAUUACGCUCCUAGAGGCCCUUGAAAUCUGGAGAACCAAAUGACAUACAUGCCCAGUCAUACUCAUAACCACAUCAGGUAUCCAAGGUGAACAACCUCUAGUUGAUGGAAUAAUGUAGAAAAAUUGAUCCGUAACUUAAGGUAAAGGAUUGGCUAUGAGGCCUGGGCAUGGGGGUCCCAGUCCCAAACCCGUUGGUUGUCGGUGGACUUCUCGAGCUACUCUUACGGUGAGAGUGGGCCGCCGUGUGCUGACCGGUGGAUGAUCUAGGAACGGUUCCUUCGAGGGCCUUCCCUGCGCGUUGAACAACCAACUCAGAGAUGGUACGGACAAGGGGAACCUGACUAUUUAAUUAAAACAAAGCAUCGUGAUGGUCUCAACGGAUGUUCAUGCAAUGUGAUUUCUGCCCAGUACUCUGAAUGUCAAAGAAAAGAAAUUCAACCAAGCGCGGGUAAACGGCGGGAGUAACUAUGACUCUCUUAAAGUAGUCAAAUGUAUCGUUAAUUAAUUAGUGAUGCAUAUUAAUAGAUUAACGAGAUUCCCACUGUCCAUGUCUACUAUCCACCAAAACUACAGCCAAGGGUACGGACUUGGCAGAAUCAGUGGGGAAAGAAGAACCUGUUAAGAUUGACUCUAGUCUGACUUUGUGAAAUUACUUGAGAGGUGUAGUGUAAGUGGGAGCCAAAGAUGAAAAUGAAAUACCACUACUUUUAACGUUAUUUUAAUUAUUUUGUGUAUCGAUAGUGGGGCACUACCUCUCAUUUUUGACACAAGGCUCGCUCUACGGGCUGAUCUGGGUGGAAUACAUUAUCAGGUGAGGAGUUUGGCUACGGCGGCACAUCUGUUAAAAGAUAAUGCAGGAAUCCUAAGACAAGCUCAACUAUGACAAAAAACUAGUGUGGAACAAAAGUGUAAAAGCUUGUUUGAUUUUGAUUUCCAGUAUGAAUAAGAACCGUGAAAGUGUGGCCUAACAAAUCUUUAGACCUUCGGAAUUCAAAGUUAGAGGUAUCAGAAAAGUUACCACAGAGAUAACAGGCUUGUGGCAGCCAAGCGUUCAUAGCGAUGUUGAUUUUUUAUCCUUUGAUGUCGGCUCUUCCUAUUAUUGUGUAGUAGAAUUCACCAAGUAUUGGAUUGUUCACCCACCAAUAGGGAACAUGAGCUGGGUUUACACCAUCAUGAUAUAGGUUAGUUUUAACCUACUUAUAAUAGUGUUGCAAUAGUAAUUCAACCUAGUACGAGAGGAACCAUUGAUUUACAUAAUUGGUCAUCGGGCUUUGUUGAAAAGCCAGUAGCACGAAGAUACCGUGUGCUGUAUUAUUACUGAAUGCCUCUAAGUCAGAAUCUAGGAUAGAAGAGAUACAUGCACCCUCCGUCCACUUGCCAAUCUACAGUAGGGGCCUCGUCCCCCAAGGGCACGUGUCGUUGGAUAAUCCAUCAUGGUGGAAGGGUCAUGGUGGCCACCUUUAAGUACAUUUUUCAUCAAAAAUGGGUAGAAUCCUUU
This 3243-nucleotide ribosomal RNA is filed under the name Capsicum chinense (habanero). RNAcentral describes it as "bacterial LSU rRNA". It matches the Rfam family "Eukaryotic large subunit ribosomal RNA". Lineage: Eukaryota; Viridiplantae; Streptophyta; Magnoliopsida; Solanales; Solanaceae. The record is from RNAcentral.